Molecule: RNA transcript, 5825 nt
Organism: Gopherus flavomarginatus (Mexican gopher tortoise)
Lineage: Eukaryota; Metazoa; Chordata; Testudines; Testudinidae
Gene name: zinc finger protein 701-like
Exons: 2
Source: RefSeq, a predicted model, not a curated record
UUUCACCAGGGAAGAGUGGGCUCUGCUGAACCCCGCUCAGAGAGCCCUCUACAGAGCCAUCAUGCAGGAGAACUAUGAGAAUGUGACCUCGCUGGGCUCCUUGGAUUUUUGAGUCCCUUGUUCCCGAACUCACAAGACCCCAAUUCUUCUUUUUCACAUUCUGCUUUUCCAGACUAAUUAGUCUGUUGCUUCUGAAUGAUAGCUUCUAAUUUCCCAGUGUUCUCCACACCCAGGGAUUUUCCUACUCCCUCCCAUUACACUGGACUCACUCAAUUCCCUAGUAAAAAUAAAAAACAGCCAUACUGGGUCUGUCCAGAGGUCCACCCAGCCCUGUAUACUGUCUUCAGACAGUGGCCAGUACCAGGUGCUCCAGAGGGAAUGAACACAACAGGUAAUCCUCAAAUGUUCCAUCACCUGACAUGUUUUGCCAGCUUCUAGCAAGCAGAGGCUACAGACAUCUUCCCUGGCUAAUGGCCAUUGAUGGACCUAUCCUCCAUGAAUUUAUCAUGUUCUUUUUUUGUACUCUGUUAUAGUCUUGGCCUUCACAACCUCCUCUGGCAAAGAGUCCACAGGUUGACUGUGCAUUGUGUGAAGAAACACUUCCUUUUUUUUGUUUUAUAUCUGUUGCCUAUACUUUUUUUUUUUUUUGGUGAUUCCUAGUCCUUGUGUUAUGAGAAGUAGUAAAUAACACUUCCUUAUUUACUUUCUCCAUGCCAGUCAUGAUUAUAUAGACCUCUCUCCUCUCCCCCCUUCCUCUCUUCCCAGCUGAAAAGUCCCAGUCUUUUUAAUCUCUCCUCAUACAGAAGCUCUUCCAUACCCCUACUCAUUUUUUUGCCCUUUUCUAAACCUUUUUCAGUUCCAUUAUAUCUUCUUUGAGAUGGGGUGACCACAUCUGCAGGCAGUAUUUGAGAUAUGGAUGCACCAUGGAUUUAUAUAGAGGCAAUUUGACAUUUUCUGUCUUAUUAUCUAUCCCUUUCCUAAUGAUUCCCAACAUUCUGUUCGCUUUUUGACUGCCACUGCACAUUGAGUGGAUGUUUUCUAAGAACUAUCCACAGUGAGUCCAAGAUCCCUCUCUUGAGUAGGACCAGCUAAUUUAGAUGCCAUCAUUUUAUAUAUAUAGUUGGGAUUAUGUUUUCCAGUGGGCUGCACUAUGUGCUAUCCUGACAUCUAGUUCCGCUGAGAUCCUGCAUUCAGUAAUAUCUCUGCCCUUCCUGUUCCCUUUCUCCACUGAACCCCACCCGCCCAUGCUUCCCCGGGACUCUCUCUCUUUGUCUCUGGACCUGUCUGUCAGCACGAAGCAGUGCCACGGACACUUGCCCUCUCUCUGGAGACUUCGAUUUCUCGGACAUGGAUUUAGUUUCUCCAUGUUUUAGGAACGGCUUUGAAACUGAGUGUCUGUUACAUUAACCACAGUGCAAUCUGGAGUGUUGAACAGCUGUUUCCCCUCAGUUCCCCAAGCUGGGGUGCCUUUUACAUUGCUUUACUGUGAGAAAAGCCACUGUGUGGCAGUUAACACACAGUCUCCAGCAUGUAACUCACUCCCAACCACACAGCACUGAGUGCUGCUAAUCAGCGACUCACGAAUUGCAGUACCCCACCGGAGAACCCCAGAAAAUUCUCCGGUCCCAGACUUCCCCCAGAAAUGUGCAUCUUGCCCUGUCCAGCACACUACUGAACAACGCAAGCUCAUAUGAAAUCUGUCGUUUCGUCAGUGGAAAAUGACAUGCACCAGCCUUGUUAUCCCAAAUGGAGUUUCCAAUACACUUUUAUUGUUCUAUCUAACCAGCGUGUUUGGGUUAAGCAAGAUUGUUAAAAUCUAUUUUUUUUUUUUGGUAGUUAAGUGCCUAUGGGUAAUGAGGCAUUAAAGUCAGAAUUGUUUACAAAAGAAAUGCAAGAUAAAACACAAACUAAUGUCUAACUUGAGAAGCUAAAACGGAUUCAAAAGCUCACCAUAUGCUAGGAAAGGCUGGCUGUCCUUUCAGCCAAGACUCCCCCUAACCCGCUCUGCUGCCCAAAUUCAGCUCAUUGAGUUUUCAUAAGCAGAGGGAAAGCGGGGAGAGAGAGAGCGUGUCAAGCAUUUUCCUCACCUCUUUUUAUAACUCGUCCUUUAUACUAGAAACAACUUCAGUUCUCAGCUGAGUGAUGGUGACGGGCUGUCUGUUGUAGAUAUCAGCUUCCAGUGAAGGAAUGUAAAUGUCUUCUUCACACCUUCCCCCUCCAGAGAAUGGCUUUUUGACCAGCUGUUUGCCUUGCUGUCUCUGAGGAACUGAUUUGCAAGUGUUCCCCGGAAUUGUAAUUUUUUCAGUAAUAUAAUACAGUAAAAUCUCAUAACUUUACAUACAGUGUUGCUGCACAUAUUUUAACAGGAGGAUAAUAUUCAGUAGAUUGUGUUUUCAAAUGAUACUUCACAAGCUGUACUAUGUACAAAAUUGGUCAUAAUUUUCUUGAAGAGUCAACAUAGAGGUACAGACUGGCACACUGUCUGUGUGUUCCCAGCAGAUAUGUGGGUAUUUCAGUCCCUCAUAAGCAGAGUAUUUGGCAUCUUCAAGGCCCUGGGGAGCUGGUCCUGGGAUUUCACUGGUUUACGAAGUGUGACACUGUAUGGAAUUGAGGCACUUUAUAUUAUUAUUUUAUUAUUAAUACCAAUGUGAUAAAAUUGCAAUGAAUCAUUCUAGAUAUGCCAUGUAAAAUGUAAUGAUUUUCCAAGUAUGAUAAUUUUGUUUCUGUUUGUAUCACUUUGUGUUGUGAGUUAUAGAUAUUUAGAGUAUAUCUAUAUUUCCAGACUUGUGCAGCGUUUCUGAGUGACACCCUCAGACAUAUUGGCAUCAGCACUGCCUAGCCUGUUUGAUGGCCCAUUCAGGAUCAUCAGCUGUACAAUGAACCCAUGGAAAGGAUCAAGGGCCGAGGUGGGCAAACCUUUUGGCCCAAGGGCCACAUCAGGGUUGCAAAACUGUAUGGAGGACCAAAUAGGGAAGGCUCCCUAAAGAGCUUGGCCCCGCCCCCUCCAAAUUCCUGCCCCGACUGCUGCCCUCAGAAUCUCUGACCCAUCCAGCCCCCCCGCUCCUUGUCCCCUGACCUCCCCCUCCUGAGACCAACCACCUUAACUGCUCUCCCAGGACCCCACCCCCUACCCAACCCCUAUGCUCCCUGUCCCCUGAAUGCCCUGACCCCUAUUCACCCACUCAGCCCCUGACAGACCCCCGGGACUCCCAUGCCUAUCCAACCCCCACAUUCUCUGUACCCUGACACCUCCCCCCACCCCCGACUUUCAAGCUAGCAACUCGCCAAUACUGCUAAGAACCCAAUAUAUAGAUUUUUGGAAUGUAUAUGACUGCUUUCCCAUUUAACAACUCCCUUUUUCUUUCUAUCUUUCCUUUAUAAUAAACCUUGAGUUUUGAUGCUAAAGGUGUAACGAUGCUGGUUCUGGUGGGACCCAGCUGAGAGUGCCAAUUCAAGACAAAUUGCUUCAAGGGGGGCGGUUACAGCCCAAGGCUGGGGUUUUUCCACCUCUAAGGCAAACCAAACCAGCCAGCCAGAGAGGAUUUCAGUUUUACCACACUGGCUAACCACAAGUCACACAAGCAAUUCCCUUAGACACUCCAGUUUCCCAGUAUCACCACCAGUGCCACUUGCUAUAGGAACAAAUGGUUAUGAAAACUAAUACCCCAGUCAAAGAAAAAGGUUCUCCCGAUCCCAAAGGACCAAGCCCCAGACAAAAGUCAAUAUACAUAUCAGAUCUUACCCACAAAUUGUGCUGUUGCUGAUCCUUUAGAAUCUGAAACCUAAAGGUUUAUUCAUAAAAGGAAAAAGAGCUAGAAUUGUUUAAAUGGAAUCAAUUCCAUACACUACUGGCAAAGUUUUGGUUCAUCAAGCAGGCUAGGCAGAGCUGAUACCAACUUGUCUGGGAUGUCACCAGAAGCAUAGCAUAAGUUUGCAAUACAGACAGUAUAGAGACAAUAUUUGUAACUUCAACUACAAAAACAAUACACACAUACAGACAGCGUAAUCAUAACCAGCAAACCAGAACCUUGUCCUGGACACCUCAAACGCCAGCCUUUGUACAAUUCUUGCUUCAAAUGUGUAACAGUGGUUGCAGCAGUGAUUUACACAGUUACCGGUUCUGUCAACAACGUCACAAAAGGAUUGGCUGGCAGCAAGGUAUUUUGGGUAAGAUCCAAACCUAGAGUGACCCAGUAAUGUGGCUGACCAUUUGGGGUCAGAAGAACACUUUGUGUGUGAGCAGAGUUUUUAAAUAACCUCUCACUGUGUUGUACCGAGGUGCUGAUUGGGAGUUAGAACUGGGAUGAGAAGAAUGAGGGGGGAUUUGAUAUCUGCUUUCAGCUACCUGAAAGGGAGUUCCAAAGAGGAUGGAUCUAGACUGUUCUCAGUGAUACCUGAUGAUAGAACAAGGAGUAAUGACCUCAAGUUGCAGUGGGGGAGGUUUAGGUUGGAUAUUAGAAAAACUUUUUCACUCAGAGAGUGGUGAAGCACUGGAAUGGGUUACACUGCUCUACAGCCAAAAUGCUUCUGAAAUACAUGUAGUCCAACUUUACUAAUUCUGGGUCACAGAGAACAAAAAUGGUGCUUAAAAUUGUUGAUUGGCUCUAGUUUUCAAUAUAUGCUAUUAGGUCAGUAUAUACGACCCUUGACUUGGGAAUGGUGGAGGAUAAGUGAGUUAUAAAGGGAAGGGAUCUCAAUUUAAACCAGAAAUGACUAAAAUACAUUUUUGACUGUAUCUAUGAAUAAAUCUAUGACUGGGUUUGGACAGUACUUCCUUUUUAGGCAAAACAAUGAAUGAUGCAAUCUGAAGCUGGUAUUGCGUCAUACAUUAUAUGAAUUGCAUCAUGUUAUUCCUAGAAGUCAUGGAUGAUGCAAUCAUAACGAAGCUUACAUCACUCUGCUGAACAAAUUGCCCUAUAUCAGCUCUAGAAAUCAUACAGUGUCGUGCUCUCUUAUUUGUCUGUGUUUGAUUUUGCAAAGGGACACAUUUCUGUUUAGCCAAAGUGAGCAGAGAUGCCUCGUACUUGUGUGAACAGUGCAGAUAACUUCUGCUAUGUUUGUGGUGAAGUGACUUUUGCAUCACAAAAGCGCAGUAUAACCACUAUGGCUAAGAAAGCCUAUCACCUUGAUUUUGGCUGCAAAAUUGGGGAUCAGGACAAGAGGUGGGCCCCACACAUAUGCUGCAGCACUUCUGCAACAAAUCUUCACCAGUAGUUGAACAGAAAAAGGAAAUCUAUGCCUUUUGCAGUGCCAAUGAUUUGGAGAGAGCCAAGAGAUCAUACCAGCAAUUGUUACUUCUGCAUGGUGCCUCCAGUUGGGAAAGGUGUGUCAAAGAAGAAAAAGUGGACUGUGCAUUAUCCAACCAUUCCAUCAGCUAUACGCCCAGUACCCCACAGAGAAGGACCGCCAGUUCCUGAUGCACCAGAAUCAUUCUCACUUGAGUCAGAAGAGGAAGAGGAAGAGGAUGAAACUUCUGGUCCUGAACCAUCAGUGUCACAGGACCCACAUUUUCUCCCAUCCUCCUCCUCUGAACCACACCUCAUAACACAAGGUGAACUGAAUGACCUUGUCAGGGAUUUGGAACUACCCAAGAGUAAGGCAGAGCUGUUGGGCUCCAGACUACAGUAGUGGAAUCUCCUGGCAGGCUAUCAGGGCAAAUGGAUCCCAUCAAUGCUUGCAGACUAUUGCUGGACAGUGACAAGAGAUGCUCCAUUUAAUGAAUACAAGAGACAAGCCAAGAAGUGCCGAGUAGACACUGAAUAGGACUAAACUAUGUACAUAAUAGUUUUUUGGCUUUUGAUUCAUAAUAAAUUUUAUUUAUAUAA